This 3567-nucleotide ribosomal RNA is filed under the name Triticum aestivum (bread wheat). RNAcentral's name for it is "partial small subunit ribosomal RNA". Lineage: Eukaryota; Viridiplantae; Streptophyta; Magnoliopsida; Poales; Poaceae. The record is from RNAcentral.
AUGGCCGACGCGCCGCCACCGCCGGGGCCGCCCGCGAGCUCCUCCGAUCCGGCCCCGCCGGCGGAGCCCGGCGAUCCGCUCUCCCUCUCCCGCGGCUACCUCUCGCUCCGCCAGGCCGGCCCCGCCAGCGAGGAGGAGGCGUCGCCAGCGCCCGCGGGGCCGCCCGACGAGAGGUGCAGGGCGAUGAUGGAGGUGGUGAGGAAGGACAACGGGGCGGGCGGGGAGGAGGGCAAGUGGAGGGUGUCCAAGCUGGUGGUGGAGCACAACCACGGGCUGGGCGCGGCGCCGACGGGGGAGGCGGCCUCUUCCGCGCCGGAGCUCGGGAUGGAGUUCGACUCCGUCCACGACGCCAAGGGCUUCUACUACGGCUACGGGGAGAGGGCCGGGUUCAAGGCGCGCACCGGCUCCAACCGCCGCUCGGCCGGCACGGGGGGCAUGAUCAUGCAGCGGUUCCUCUGCUGCAGAGGCAAUUACUCGUACAGGAAAGGUAAUAAAGCCAAGGAUUCGGACCCCGCCAAGGAGGUGGAGGAUGGCGCUGCUGGGGGAGGGGAAGGGGAAGGGAAGGUCGAGGCCCCUAAGAAGAGGGGCCGAAAGCCCGGGAAGAAGAGCACGCCGGUGAUCGAGGUGGAGAACUCGGUGGAGAAGGGUGUUGCAAUAGCAGGCGCAGAGAAUGGGCAAGCAGUGCCUAGUACGAAGAAUUUGGGGAGAGGUGGGGAUAAGAAGGAUGUUGCGGAGAAGGAUGUCGAGUCUGUCGUCGAACUGGAGGAAGAACAUGUUGAGGUGGAGGAUGCCGCACAGGAUGGUGCCCAUGACCUCGGUGACGGCGACGAUGCUGGUUCUGAUGCGGGUGAGGGUGUAAUGGAAAAGGAGGUGGAGGUGAAGGAAAAGAGAGGGAGGGGGAGGCCGAGAAAGGCUGUUACAGAGGGCAAUGCCCUGCAGGCAUGUGUGUCGACGGACCUUGGUGUGACGGCGUCGCAGUGCGCUGUUGAUGAGAGAAAGAAGAUACUUAAUAAGUAUCUCUCGAAGCGACAGAGCAGACCUGCCUCAGGCAGACCCGCCAAGCCGUUAGAAAGGCGAUCGAAACGUCUUGAGAAGCAAAAUCUUCAAAAUGAAAAGAAGCCUGAGAGUAAAGAAUAUGAAAUAGUUGAAGCGGAACAGGAUCCAGAAACUGAAGUAGUAGCUGGGCCUGGAGGAGAGCCAAAAGUUGGUAUGGUUUUCCUGAAUGAAGACAAGGCUUACGAGUUUUAUGUCAGCUAUGCUGGAACUGCAGGAUUCAAUGUCCGAAAAGGAUGCUCUGAGAAAACAGCAAAUAAUGUUACGAAAUCUCGGGCUUAUGUAUGUUCUAAAGAGGGAUUCCGCCCUAAAAGUUUUACUGCCGAGCCAAAGAAACAACGAGCAGAAACAAGAACUGGCUGUGAAGCACACAUGACUGUUAAAAUCACUACUAGCGGCAAAUAUGUAGUGACAGAGUGUGUGGCCGAUCACAAUCAUGAUCUUGAAGCUCCUGUGGUGGACAUUCAGAUUCUGAGAUCACAGAAGUUAUUAGCAAAGUUACAGCAGCCUCCAGAUCCACCAAAAGUUGUUUUGAUACCAAAUGACUAUAAAAAUUAUGUUAGGACAAGGCACACGACGGAUAUGCAAUUGGGCGAUGCUCGGGCAAUUUCUGAAUAUUUACAGAGGAUGAAAGGCGAGAAUCCUUCAUUCUUCUGUUCCAUUCAAGUGGAUGAAGACGACCAAUUCAGAAAUGUAUUCUGGGCAGAUGUUAAAUCAGUGAUGGAUUUUAACUACUUCGGUGAUGUAGUAUGUGUUGACACAAGGUAUAGCAUAAGUGAUUAUUGUAGGCCUCUGUUGUUGUUCAUUGGAGUUAACCAUCAUAAGCAGCCAACCAUAUUUGGUACAGCAUUUAUUUAUGAUGAAUCAGUCGAAUCCUUCAAGUGGUUGUUUGAAACUUUCAAGUCUGCUAUGAGUGGAAAGCAGCCAAGAACAGUUUUGACUGAUCGCUCUACAGCAAUAAGCGAUGCAGUUGCUUCUGCUUGGCCAGGGACUGCUCAUCGCUUCUCACUGUUGCAUUUGUAUCAAAAUGCCACCAAGGUACUAAGCGAUACAUUCCAAGGGUCGGAAACUUUUGCCCAUGAUUUUAGUCGGUCUUUGUAUGACUAUGAGGAGGAGGGGGACUUUUUGUCUAGCUGGGAAAUCCUCUUGGCGAAGUACAAUCUGAAAGACAACGAGUGGCUAAGUAAAUUGUAUGAGGAUAGAGAAAGAUGGGCUUUGCCUUAUGGGCGUGAUAUAUUCUGUGCAGAUAUUGCAGCCACACUCCGAAGUGAUAACAUGGAUGCCAUCCUGACAGGUGUUCUCAAAACAGAAAUAGAUCUUCCAUACUUCUUUAGCAGAUAUGAUAAAUUUUUAGAGGAGAAACGUCUAGCUGAACAAGAAGCUGACUACCUUGGAGUUCAAAUGACACAGAGGGUACCACCUCUGCGGUUACUUUGGCAAGCUGCUAAUACAUAUACCCCUGCACUGUUUGAGCUGUUCAGGUUAGAAUUUGAACUGGUCUUGGCCUGCAUGGUUUAUUGCUGUGGUGAAAUUGGACCAAUAUCCGAGUAUGAGGUAACUGUCAAAAACAGACCUCAAGUUCAUUUUGUUAGAUUUGACUCAUCAGAAUAUAUGGUCCUUUGUAGCUGCAAGAAGUUUGAAUUUGUAGGCCUUCCAUGUUGCCAUGCACUGAAAGUUCUUGAGAUAAAAAAUAUUAAAGAACUUCCACCACAAUAUAUUUUGAAAAGAUGGCGAAAGGAUGCUCAGAGUGAAUCUCCAAAGGAGAACUUCGGUUUUGCUGCUGUGGGUGAAGAUCCCAAGUUCACGGUGUCUAAACGGCACAAUUCGCUGUAUCGAACUUUAUAUAAAGUGGCAGCAAAGGCUGCAGAAAACAUUGAAGGUCAGAGAUUUAUGGAGAGCCAAUAUGAUCAGCUCCUGGAACAAGUUGAGCUUCUUUUGCAAGCAAAGUUGCAUGACAAGCCUUCCUUAAGCACUAUCAUGAGAAGUCAACAGCCAAAUUUGCCUCAGAAUGAUACCAGCAACAGUGAACCUCGCAGAGCAAGUAGUAAGAAAAAUAAAAAUGUAGAGAAUCGUCGGCAGCAGCAAAGUCCUCUUGAAUCAAGUAAAAAGAAAAAAGGUAGACAAGGUCUAGUGGAGCCUGAGGAGGCUGAACUGCCACUUAGGGUUCUUGCUCCCACAAUAUCGAAUGACAUCCCAAAUCACAUGAGUACUCCAACCAACCAGUUCCUUGCUCCAAGUCAUCUGAUGCAGGCACCAUAUGUUACACAGCAAUUUGGUCUUAAUUCUCUUCAAGGAUUUUCUGGCAUGUCGCCAUUUGGGCAGAUGCAGGAACAAUCACCUGUGCAUCUUCAGCAACCUCAUCUACAACAACCACCCUUUCAUAGCGGUCCACAAAUGCACCAGGCUCCCCCUCCAGAUAUCCAGUCAUUGCAGUUUCUUAGCAGCAAUCCUCAACUGGGCCACCAGACCACGGAUCAAGGCCAGUACACCAUCCCUGUAUGGGAUUUCCUGUGA